UACGUAGGGGGCAAGCGUUGUCCGGAUUUAUUGGGCGUAAAGAGCGUGUAGGCGGCCUUACAGGUCAGCUGUGAAAACUCGAGGCUCAACCUCGAGACGUCGGUUGAAACCGUAUGGCUAGAGUCCGGAAGAGGAGAGUGGAAUUCCCGGUGUAGCGGUGAAAUGCGCAGAUAUCGGGAAGAACACCAGUGGCGAAGGCGGCUCACUGGCCCGGUACUGACGCUGAGGCACGAAAGCGUGGGGAGCAAACAGG
RNAcentral lists this ribosomal RNA (253 nucleotides) under uncultured bacterium. RNAcentral describes it as "partial 16S ribosomal RNA". It matches the Rfam family "Bacterial small subunit ribosomal RNA", at positions 524 to 776 of the family's 1533-position model. The record is from RNAcentral.